AGCGGCGGAGCAUGCGGAUUAAUUCGAUGCAACGCGAAGAACCUUACCAAGGCUUGACAUAUACCGGAAACGGCCAGAGAUGGUCGCCCCGCAAGGUCGGUAUACAGGUGGUGCAUGGUUGUCGUCAGCUCGUGUCGUGAGAUGUUGGGUUAAGUCCCGCAACGAGCGCAACCCUCGUUCUAUGUUGCCAGCACGUUAUGGUGGGAACUCAUAGGAGACUGCCGGGGUCAACUCGGAGGAAGGUGGGGAUGACGUCAAAUCAUCAUGCCCCUUAUGUCUUGGGCUUCACGCAUGCUACAAUGGCCGGUACAAAGGGCUGCGAUACCGUAAGGUGGAGCGAAUCCCAAAAAGCCGGUCUCAGUUCGGAUUGAGGUCUGCAACUCGACCUCAUGAAGUCGGAGUCGCUAGUAAUCGCAGAUCAGCAACGCUGCGGUGAAUACGUUCCCGGGCCUUGUACACACCGCCCGUCAAGUCAUGAAAGUCGGUAACACCCGAAGCCAGUGGCCUAACCCCUUGUGGGAUGGAGCUGUCGAAGGUGGGAUCGGUGAUUAGGACUAAGUCGUAACAAGGUAGCCGUACCGGAAGGUGCGGCUGGAUCACCUCCUU
This 606-nucleotide ribosomal RNA is filed under the name uncultured bacterium. RNAcentral's name for it is "bacterial SSU rRNA". It matches the Rfam family "Bacterial small subunit ribosomal RNA", at positions 928 to 1532 of the family's 1533-position model. The record is from RNAcentral.